UGGGGAAUAUUGCACAAUGGGCGCAAGCCUGAUGCAGCCAUGCCGCGUGUAUGAAGAAGGCCUUCGGGUUGUAAAGUACUUUCAGUCGGGAGGAGGGUGGUAAGGUUAAUAACCUUAUCAAUUGACGUUACCGACAGAAGAAGCACCGGCUAACUCCGUGCCAGCAGCCGCGGUAAUACGGAGGGUGCAAGCGUUAAUCGGAAUUACUGGGCGUAAAGCGCACGCAGGCGGUUGAUUGAGUCAGAUGUGAAAUCCCCGGGCUUAACCCGGGAAUUGCAUCUGAUACUGGUCAGCUAGAGUCUUGUAGAGGGGGGUAGAAUUCCAUGUGUAGCGGUGAAAUGCGUAGAGAUGUGGAGGAAUACCGGUGGCGAAGGCGGCCCCCUGGACAAAGACUGACGCUCAGGUGCGAAAGCGUGGGGAGCAAACAGG
RNAcentral lists this ribosomal RNA (429 nucleotides) under Chloroflexota bacterium. RNAcentral describes it as "Chloroflexi bacterium partial 16S ribosomal RNA". It matches the Rfam family "Bacterial small subunit ribosomal RNA", at positions 355 to 776 of the family's 1533-position model. Lineage: Bacteria; Bacillati; Chloroflexota. The record is from RNAcentral.